UAUUAGGACUACUGGAUGAACCACACCUUCCUUUUGACUGUGAUACCAUGAGACUGCUUGAGGAGGCCUAUGAGGACCUGGGGGAUAGUCAAGCUAUACAGUAUGGGGAUCAACACUGGUACAUAGGAUACAAACUUAUUGUAAAGUGGCUCCAAUGAAGAAUCACGGACGAGACAUAUACAUAAGCACUCUGAGUUUCUUCAGGAGUCAGGCUUUCUUAGAUACACUUACAGAACGACUAUGAGCCAUGGUUGAUGAUAAAACGAGACAGGUAAGUCGUAAACGUAGCGACAUGCAUUUUAUAUAAUUCACCCACCUUAUUCUCAUGUUGUAUGAUUCAAUAGGACGACAAGAAGUAGUCACAAGAAAGAGUGCUCUGUCAAGCAAAGAAGCAGCUAUUAUAUUAUUAUCAUUUAUAAAAUGAAAUUAUGUAAUUAUAGACCUGCUAGCCUACCAAGAUCAAAAUGCAUGACGCUUGCAUCUUUUAUAAAUAAAUAAAAUUAUAAUAUAUAUAUUACAAGUUUUAGAAAGUAAGAGUACAAUAAUGAUAGAAAUAUAAUAAUGAUACUGAUAAUGCAUUCACUGGUAAGACUCAUAAUAGGCAUGGCUUUAAUUUAUGGCCACACCCACUUGACACAGACAAGCAGAUGGAUAUUAACGUGUUCCUUAGAGUUUUUGUACCAAAAGAAGGAGAAGCCAAUGUAUGGGAACUAUCAACUGAUUAUUAUCUACACCAUAGGACAGCUAGGGAACUACAAUCACCAAAACUGUUUAAGAGUCCUACCAAAUGGUGGGAAGAUGAACUGGUAUCAUCAAGCCACAAUAUGAAGGACAAGUUAUUGCUAAUAUUGAAGAUGAUCCUGAAGAAGAACCCACUCCUCCAGCAGUACCUCAUAUUAAUAAUGACACUACUGACAGAGACAGUUUUGAUGGAUAAUACAAAAUGUACGAACUAACCAACUUUGAUAGACUACUGAGCACAUCUGUUGUAAGGACUGGAGAUAAUGUUGUGUCCCUUGAUAGUGAAGGUGCUAUUCAAGGUAAUCCUUUUGUAGUGAGAGAUAAAAUGAAGAAGAAAGUGGGCUCCAGUAGUUCCAAGAUGGCUGCUAAAAGAGGAUUCAGUGUUGGUUUACCACAGACUCAGAUUGCUAUGUACUCACAAUUUGACAGAUGAUUAUUUUGUUGUGUGUUAUAUAUGACUAUUUGAUUAUGUGUUCACCACUUUCUGUGGUGGUUUGUUUGUUUUGUCCCACAAGUGUGUUUGAAUAAUAAUAUUGAUAGUUAAUAGUUAAUGCUAUGUCCUAGAACUG
This is a long non-coding RNA of Amphimedon queenslandica, 1310 nucleotides long. RefSeq lists it as uncharacterized. NCBI's taxonomy places the organism in Eukaryota, Metazoa, Porifera, Demospongiae, Haplosclerida, Niphatidae. The record is from RefSeq and is a predicted model, not a curated record. The transcript has 7 exons.